Molecule: ribosomal RNA, 435 nt
Filed under: Paenibacillus sp. M.B-5
Lineage: Bacteria; Bacillati; Bacillota; Bacilli; Caryophanales; Paenibacillaceae
Description: bacterial SSU rRNA
Rfam family: Bacterial small subunit ribosomal RNA
Source: RNAcentral
CGGCGGACGGGUGAGUAACACGUAGGCAACCUGCCCUCAAGCUUGGGACAACUACCGGAAACGGUAGCUAAUACCGAAUAGUUGUUUUCUUCUCCUGAAGAAAACUGGAAAGACGGAGCAAUCUGUCACUUGGGGAUGGGCCUGCGGCGCAUUAGCUAGUUGGUGGGGUAACGGCUCACCAAGGCGACGAUGCGUAGCCGACCUGAGAGGGUGAUCGGCCACACUGGGACUGAGACACGGCCCCAAACUCCUACGGGAGGCAGCAGUAGGGAAUCUUCCGCAAUGGGCGAAAGCCUGACGGAGCAAUGCCGCGUGAGUGAUGAAGGUUUUCGGAUCGUAAAGCUCUGUUGCCAGGGAAGAACGCUUGGGAGAGUAACUGCUCUCAAGGUGACGGUACCUGAAAAGAAAGCCCCGGCUAACUACGUGCCACACCGC